GCCCACCAAGGCGACGAUCAGUAGCCGACCUGAGAGGGUGACCGGCCACAUUGGGACUGAGACACGGCCCAAACUCCUACGGGAGGCAGCAGUGGGGAAUAUUGCACAAUGGGGGAAACCCUGAUGCAGCGACGCCGCGUGAGCGAUGAAGGCCUUCGGGUCGUAAAGCUCUGUCAGCAGGGAAGAAGAUGACGGUACCUGAGUAAGAAGCCCCGGCUAACUAC
RNAcentral lists this ribosomal RNA (224 nucleotides) under uncultured bacterium. RNAcentral's name for it is "partial 16S ribosomal RNA". It matches the Rfam family "Bacterial small subunit ribosomal RNA", at positions 263 to 504 of the family's 1533-position model. The record is from RNAcentral.